This 446-nucleotide ribosomal RNA is filed under the name uncultured bacterium. RNAcentral's name for it is "bacterial SSU rRNA". It matches the Rfam family "Bacterial small subunit ribosomal RNA", at positions 329 to 792 of the family's 1533-position model. The record is from RNAcentral.
GCCCAGACUCCUACGGGAGGCAGCAGUGGGGAAUAUUGCACAAUGGGGGAAACCCUGAUGCAGCGACGCCGCGUGAGCGAUGAAGUAUUUCGGUAUGUAGAGCUCUAUCAGCAGGGAAGAAAAUGACGGUACCUGACUAAGAAGCCCCGGCUAACUACGUGCCAGCAGCCGCGGUAAUACGUAGGGGGCAAGCGUUAUCCGGAUUUACUGGGUGUAAAGGGAGCGUAGACGGCGAUGCAAGCCAGAUGUGAAAGCCCGGGGCUCAACCCCGGGACUGCAUUUGGAACUGUAUAGCUAGAGUGUCGGAGAGGCAGGCGGAAUUCCUAGUGUAGCGGUGAAAUGCGUAGAUAUUAGGAGGAACACCAGUGGCGAAGGCGGCCUGCUGGGCUUUUACUGACGCUGAGGCUCGAAAGUGUGGGGAGCAAACAGGAUUAGAUACCCGAGUA